UGGGGAAUAUUGGACAAUGGGCGAAAGCCUGAUCCAGCCAUGCCGCGUGUGUGAAGAAGGCCUUUUGGUUGUAAAGCACUUUAAGCGAGGAGGAGGAUACUGAGAUUAAUACUCUUGGAUAGUGGACGUUACUCGCAGAAUAAGCACCGGCUAACUCUGUGCCAGCAGCCGCGGUAAUACAGAGGGUGCGAGCGUUAAUCGGAUUUACUGGGCGUAAAGCGUGCGUAGGCGGCUUCUUAAGUCGGAUGUGAAAUCCCUGAGCUUAACUUAGGAAUUGCAUUCGAUACUGGGAAGCUAGAGUAUGGGAGAGGAUGGUAGAAUUCCAGGUGUAGCGGUGAAAUGCGUAUAGAUCUGGAGGAAUACCGAUGGCGAAGGCAGCCAUCUGGCCUAAUACUGACGCUGAGGUACGAAAGCAUGGGGAGCAAACAGG
Molecule: ribosomal RNA, 430 nt
Filed under: Acidobacteriota bacterium
Lineage: Bacteria; Pseudomonadati; Acidobacteriota
Description: Acidobacteria bacterium partial 16S ribosomal RNA
Rfam family: Bacterial small subunit ribosomal RNA
Source: RNAcentral